Molecule: RNA transcript, 7027 nt
Organism: Strongylocentrotus purpuratus (purple sea urchin)
Lineage: Eukaryota; Metazoa; Echinodermata; Echinoidea; Camarodonta; Strongylocentrotidae
Exons: 18
Source: RefSeq, a predicted model, not a curated record
GAAUCUACUGGAUCGACUCGUUCGCAGAUACGUUCGAAAGCCGCCGUUCUUAUCCUACAUUGGCCGAACGUUUCUGCUUAUAUAAUCGCGUAUAUUUUUAUUACUUGUGUCGAAUAAACAUGGUAAAAAUAAAUUUUAGCUUUAUCUUGAUACUUUUGUAUUUAUUGUUGGAAUGAAAACCAAUAUUAUUUUUUUUUAAAUAUUACUUAAUGAUAAGGUUUAUAACCUCGUACGGAAGCGCGGUACGAAAAAUAAAUGAAUAAAUAACCACGCACGUGCACGUGCAUACUCGGAAUUUCGACAGUCAUAAAAAUGGCAGAUAAUCAAUUUGUAGAGGAAUGUACCAACAUCGCAAGAUUUCUUGCGGAUGGAACUUAUCCGGAAUUAGGGAUGAGCGUCAACAAGAAGAGGGGGCUGCGGAAGAAAGCAGCCACCUUCAAGCUGAGUUCGAUUGAUGGGCUCACAGAAUUAGUUUAUACAGGGCGAGGAUGUGAAGAAAGACGGGUAAUCCCAAGAAAAGAAGAACAAAAGAAAAUCCUGGCCGAGUUGCAUGUCAACUCUGGAGGGCAUCUAGGAAGGGACAGAACGAGGCAUGUCGUUCUGCAACGAUUUUACUGGCCGGGGAUCUCACAUGAUGUUGCCCAGUACAUCAAAUGCUGUGUCCCAUGCCAAAAGGCAGCACCCUCCAUAAAGCACAAGCAGCCUCUGCAUCCAAUUCCAGUGACUGGUGUGUGGGAUCAGAUUGGAGUGGACUUAAUAGGACCGCUAAAGGAGACUGGAAGAGGUCAUAAGUACAUAGUGACUUUAACAGACUACUUUUCGAAGUGGGCUGAGGCAGCGCCAAUCCCGAACAAGGAAGCGAAGACAAUUGCCCAGUUUCUGCAUCAAGUGAUGCUUAGAUUUGGAUUUGUUGAUCGUUUGAUUACGGAUCAAGGGAGAGAAUUUAACAACGAGUUGGUGACUUCCCUUCUAAAGUUCAGCGGUACAAGGCACUGCGUUAGCAGUGCUUAUCAUCCCCAAACAAACGGGCUGGUUGAACGAUUCAACCAGACUUUGAUAUGUGCACUACAGAAGGUGACAAAUGAAGAGUGCAAUGAUUGGGAUGAGAAGAUUGAUGCCAUUCUCUUUGCAUACCGGACAUCCCCCCAAGGGUCUACGCGCUACUCACCCUUUCAACUUAUGUUCAACAGAGAACCACGUCUCCCCAUAGAUGUAGUGACCAGCUCCUCAACUAUCUCAGCGCCCUCCCCUGAGGAAGUUGAACAAGUUUUUGUCAAGGUCCAGGCAAUGAGCGAUAAAAUCAGGGAUCAUACCAAGAUCAACGUGAAGGCGGCCCAGCAAAAGCAAAAGAGGCAUUAUGAUGAGAGGCAUCAUGUCAGCAAGGUUUUCUCUGAAGGAAGUUGGGUUCUGAAGAAGAACAUGAGAAGAGACACCCGGCAAGGAGACAAGCUAACCCACAGGACGACAGGACCAUUUAUCAUCGAGAAGUAUGUGAGCAAAGGUGUCUACAUACUGCGCAAUCCUCUUACCGAUACCCUUCUAAAACAGAAAGUGAAUGGAAGCCACCUCAUUCCUUUCAAUAGAGAUAGUGGUCUGAGUACAGACACGAGUACAAACAAGGAUGGUAUAAGAAAUACCGGGAAUACGUGCUAUAUGAAUGCCACUGCACAAAUUCUUGUAGCAUCUCCAGUUGUCCACUUGUACAGGGAACAGAGUGUACACAAGAUCCCUGCCCUUGAUGGAGUCUUACAACUUUAUAAUGCAGAUAACACUGCUGCAGUGAAGAAGGCUGUACAGAGUUUGAAGGAUCUUCUGCCUUCCUACAACGAUGCAGAGCAACACGAUGCUGGACGGUUUAUGCUUGACAUCCUGUCCUCGCAAUGUCUCCAUUGUGGUUCAAGUAAAUGCACUUUCCUUCAAAGCUGUUGUCAUUUGCAGGGGCACAAUGAACUUAAGUGCCCUAAUUGUGACGCAUCAAGGCUUGGGGGAGAGCUUGAUUACGGCUCCAUGCCAGUAGAAUGCAGAAGCAACAAAUCACUCGACACCACUCUCGAGGAAUUUUUCAGUUGGGCUACUGUUGACUUCAAAGGCCUUUGCGACAAGUGUGGACAGACCCUGACCAAGAUGGAAAAGAGGCCAGUGGCAGAGUCACCGCCAGACUUUCUGUGGGUCACGCUACAGCGCUGGAAAGAAUCGGAGGUCCGGCAAGCUUUGUCCGAAUCUCGACUUACCAAAAAUACAGAAAGGAUGAAUGUCAGCCAUUGCCUCUCCCUUCCACUUAAAGACGGAUUUAUGCAGGAAUAUCACCUUGGAAGCUUAAUGAUGCAUGAAGGAAGCAGCAUGUCCAGUGGACAUUACACUGCACUUGUUUGUAAGGAAACGUGGAUCCUGUAUGAUGAUGAGAAGGUGUCUGUGACUGAUAUUGAUCUGGCAUCACCUUCUAUAGCUGGUGUGGGAUAUAAGAAAGGUCAUAUGUAUAAGGUUGAGAAGGCAUCCUCCCAAGAAGCUGUCAACGCUGCUGCAGACUUGAAGAUGGCUGCUGUACCAUUUGCUGAUGUACUUAACCACGUGGAAGCUAUUGUUGCCGGAAAAGUGAGAUCAUCAAGACAUGACCUGUUCAUCGAGAGGAAAUUGGUCGUAUUGAAGCAACUCAGCUAUGAUGGACUAGGAGAGUUUUCAAAUGAGAUGGAGCGUUCAAUGAUGCAUUGGACAAGACUUGAUUUGCAGGAAUUGGAUUGAACCCAAGUUUGCUGAGAAACUGAAGCUGAUUGGCAUUCCUAAUGACAUGUAAGAUUAUUACCCAUAGAAGGCAUUUUAGCUACAAGAUAAAAAGCCAUAUUUUGCGCACCACUUCUAAUCUGAACCCGAAGCAGGCAACAUUUGCCAUAUUGCCCCCUUCCGGGUUUUCCCCGUAGACAACUGUACAAAAUUUGAGGACAACAUUGGGCCAUAAUCCAUUCUUUCUUGGAGAGUGCGCUUUAACAAAGUUCAAAUGUACGCGAUCUAGUUUUAAGCAAUGGAUACCCGCGGUAAAAAUUUACGUAACAAUCGCUUAGGCAGGAUUACAUACAUGCCUGAAUAAACUGAAAUCAGACAGACCGACAGGCAAACACACAUGUCUGUCAUUAUUACCAAAAAAAUUAAUGACAUGCAUGAAUUAUACAGCUGUAGGUAAUAAUAAUUAUAUUGACUGGCUCUGCCUUCGGGGAACAUCGGAAAUGUUACCCUUAAAAGAACCAUAUUGCCCUUGUCUACGACUCUGGACAAUAUGAAUCUUUUGCAGGCAAUAUAUUCAAUGUUUCCUCAAGGCCAGUCAAUAUAAUAUAAUUAUGAUACUAAACAAUGGUGUAGCAAAGCAUUAUUUGGACACACACAUAAAUCAUCCCAUUGAAAGAAUUCUAUUGAAAUUUAUUGGGAAAUCUAUUGAAUUGUCUAAUUGAAGACAAAGGAACCGUCUUUGAUUUUCUUGAGGUUACACAUGUUAUUUGACGCAUGUACAGGUGGACCUAUUCUAUGUUCCUUGAUGAUGGAAAUUGUAAAUUGGUGUAGUUUUGAUCAACAAAAAUGUGGUUUGAUAAUUUUGUCCCCCAAAAGUCAUAUUUUCAGUUAGAAUUUAUUUGAUGGAUGUGUUUUUAGUUCCAAUUCAAUAAAUGAUAUGUGCUGAUAUCUAAUUGAGCAAAUUGAAAUAGUACAUUUUGUGUUGGUGGCUAGCGAGUUGCAGCUCUUCACUGUAUGAAAUACAUUUUCCUGCAAGCUGAGAAAUUAGCCUGCGGCAGCUUGCCAGUAGUGGCGCUGUUAAUCGUGAAUAUAUAGACCAUAACAAUGUUGCUUUUGUUGUGUGUUUUUUCUCUUUCUCAGGGCAAGUUUUUACCUGAAUUACGUCUUAUACCCAGAGGCAUUCAGCUUUGUGUUCAAUGCAGAAGCUCCAGGUAUCUAACUUGGGAAACAACUGAUUGAAGAGGACACUCGAUCUGUGUGAGAUGAGGAGCUCAUAUAUUUCCUUAGAAGAUGUUCAUUUAAGUUCUCAAAUUUUUACAGACAUAAUACACUAUGCGGGUACCAGUCAGUCUACAGGUCCGCAGAAAGUGGCUUCUUUCAUCCAACUUGUAUACAUGACCGGAACAGGUUCUGCAUAUUUAACGAGUCAGAACCUGUCAGAAGACCACUUUUAUUUUGGCCCUUGCUGCUCUUAAACAUCAAAUUUGAUGUUUUUGGUUAUAAGGUGAAGAAUCAAUCUGUUAUUGUAUUUGAUUGAGUUUAAUUGAAUAUUCGGUAAGAUAGGUGAAAUUGUGGAUCUAGAAAGAAUACAAAUGUGACUUUUUCACUUGCCAAAAGUGUCAUUACAUCUGCAUGAAGCUGAACAUCUAUGCUUCGUGAUAAAAACACUCCUAACACAUGAUACAAUUUAAUCGGCUCAAGAACUGUACGUCAGUUGGUCCCACUGCUUGGCAAUAUAUCAUUUGAGGUAGGAACUUCAAACUUGGUACAGUCCACACUCAUUUUAACGACGUGCUCAAGACCAUGCCAAUUACCUCAUUAUACAUGUACUGAACACAUAGACACAUGUGCACAUGACUGGGAGAAUCUUGUUGUAUCCAUGCUUGUUAUAACGGUAGUGGGCUGUAGUAGUAUGUAUCAACAUAGGAAGAUCAAGCAAUAAGAUAUUGGAGUAAGUAGGUCAAAGGUCACAGUGGUAUAUUUACAUGAAGUUAAAGGUUUUUAUUAUCUCAAGAUCCGUUUGAGGUUAGAACUUCAAACUUGGUAAUAGUAUGUAUCGCCAUAUAUCAAGGAGUAAUCGGUUAAGGGUCUCAUAUUUCUCUUAUCUUGUAAGGGCAUUCAUUCAGACUGUGCAGUCGAGAAUGGUUUUUGACACGCCAUGCUCAAAACAAUAGAGCUCGGUGAAGUGUGUAUGGAUCAGUGUCAUUAAGGUAUCAUUUGAAAGCAUAUGACUUGGAAUUAGUUUAUAGAGCACUACCUAGUCUGCAUAAAUUAACCCUUUGAUUUAGGGUUUUUGUUCUUUGGGGACGCACUGCAUAUCAGAUCUGGUGAAGACUGGAAUUCAUUUGGAAUUUGUGAAAUCGAGAAUCAUUCCUGUCUUAAUGACACUUCAAUGUCUUUUGAGAUCACAAUGAAGUCACAAUGGUCCAAAUUGUCUUUGUCCGUUUUCAGUGCAAGCCAAUUUGUAAACAACAUUAGGUCAUAAUUAUGUUUAUCACUUUAUAUUUGAUGAAAAAAAUUAUCUUGGAAGUGUACGCCCAUGUAAAUGAGUAUGAAGCGGUAAUUUUGAUUCCAUAAACAUUCCAUAAAAUAAAGAAUCUUGAAAUAUUGUGUAUGGAUGUAUUAAUGGUGCACCGUCCUCUAACAUUAUGCUGAUGGUCCUGGUUACGAAAGGAAUAGGGCAUACACUGUAAAGCUACGUUUUGAUACAAUGAUUGACAAUACAUUGUACAUUUCAGUAUAAAUUAGCCUAUAAUUGGAUUAAUGAUAACAUUUUGUUACUUGGAGACAUAGCAGUUGUAUGAAUGUUAUGAAUUAUAAAGAUACAAAAGAAUAGAUACAUUUGUAAUAUUUUUAAUGGGCAUAUAUAGUACAAGAUCAGAAUAUUGCAAUCUGGAUUAGAAGACAGGACAUUUUGAGUACAUGUAGUUCCGGACUCAAGGUGGUGCACUACAGGGCUGCUGUGGCUUUAAAAGCUGUGGUAAAAUAUUGAAGUUUUUAUACUGUUAAUGUUUGGCAUUGGUAAAGUGGAGAUCACAGUGAAGCAGAACAUAUUUUUAAUGGUACAAAUAUUACCAUGUAACUGACAAAUCAAAAAUUUAAACCAUACACACUGGAGUGGCAAUGAUGUUAUAAGAUAAGAUUAAGGGGCAACAUGGUCUCUGCGCUAAUUUCAGAUAUACAAGGGACCAGAAAGUGAGGGAUCAUGGGGAAAGUUUAUCAUACGGAAUUUGCAAAAUGCCUGUUUGCAUUAUAACCCAUCCGUCGUGCGAGGCCGUCGGACUAACUGUAAUAAAUGUUUGCGGACAGUACGAAGUUGACCGACUCAGUCCAUUCAAAUACUUUGGGUUCUGGCAUUUCUCAACAAUACUUGGUCUUUAACCAUAUUCACUAUCGAAGAAACAACUUGUAUACUAAUGCUCCAACAUUUCCAAAUACAAAACACAGGCUAGUUUACUUCUGGUUGGUUAGCCUAACCUUGGAGAAAAUCCAGGUCUUGCAAUCUCUUUAUUUGCUUUUCCCCCAGACAGUUUGUCACCGGGGAUUAUGUAACACCCAUCAGGCCCUCUCUCUAACGCCCGCAGUCACAUUUCCGCUGUACUGCACCUUAUGCAAAUGGUAAAAAACUGUUUUCUACACGCCGUGCGGGCCCGCAGUGGAAAUGUGACUGCGCCAUCAGAGAGCUGGCUAUGUAAUUGUUUCAUCCGAGGAUACCAUGCCUUUCCCCAUGAUCUCUCACUUUCUGGUCCCUCUAAUGCAUCAGAAAACAAUAUUUUAGUUAAGAAUAUCGUAGAGGAAUACGUAAGUGUUCCAUUUUAGAGUUCAUGGGAAUGCAACAGAAGUGUGAGAUAUAUUUCAGAUCAGAAUUUUUUUCUCGAGAUCGAUUACUUUCAGUGAUAUUUCAAGUCUCACUUUGUCAUUGAUUGGAGUUUUAAUAGUAUCUUUCAUCGAUGGGAAUUCUUGUUUUACUAAUAUAUUAUCAAGGCUUUUAAACUAUGAGGAUUUUAGUUCAUUCAAUCGAGAAUAAUGAGCUUGAUUACGAUAGCUAAAUGUUGGUACAUAAAUACGUAGAACAUUCUGAAAUGUUUGACAUGCUUAAUUCAUGUACAUAUGUAUCAUAACAUGUAUCAUAUCAUAUCGUUUUACUUCCAUUGUAAAAAAAAAGAAAAAGAAAUUAUGUCCAGCGCUUGCCUAUUGCAUCAUUUCAUGUGGUGCUUCAAAGCGUGAUUCUUUGAUGUGCCGUUGUGAAAAGAAAAGCAUAUCAUAUUUUGAAGAAUAAAAGUUUUGACAUUUAAAAUAAAUACAUAAA